AUUGAACGCUGGCGGCAGGCCUAACACAUGCAAGUCGAGCGGAUGAGAAGAGCUUGCUCUUCGAUUCAGCGGCGGACGGGUGAGUAAUGCCUAGGAAUCUGCCCUGGUAGUGGGGGACAACGUUUCGAAAGGAACGCUAAUACCGCAUACGUCCUACGGGAGAAAGCAGGGGACCUUCGGGCCUUGUGCUAUCAGAUGAGCCUAGGUCGGAUUAGCUAGUUGGUGAGGUAAUGGCUCACCAAGGCGACGAUCCGUAACUGGUCUGAGAGGAUGAUCAGUCACACUGGAACUGAGACACGGUCCAGACUCCUACGGGAGGCAGCAGUGGGGAAUAUUGGACAAUGGGCGAAAGCCUGAUCCAGCCAUGCCGCGUGUGUGAAGAAGGUCUUCGGAUUGUAAAGCACUUUAAGUUGGGAGGAAGGGCAUUAACCUAAUACGUUAGUGUUUUGACGUUACGACAGAAUAAGCACCGGCUAACUCUGUGCCAGCCCGG
RNAcentral lists this ribosomal RNA (493 nucleotides) under uncultured bacterium. RNAcentral's name for it is "bacterial SSU rRNA". It matches the Rfam family "Bacterial small subunit ribosomal RNA", at positions 30 to 520 of the family's 1533-position model. The record is from RNAcentral.